RNAcentral lists this ribosomal RNA (303 nucleotides) under uncultured bacterium. RNAcentral's name for it is "partial 16S ribosomal RNA". It matches the Rfam family "Bacterial small subunit ribosomal RNA", at positions 507 to 807 of the family's 1533-position model. The record is from RNAcentral.
AGCAGUCGCCGCGGUAAUACGGAGGGUGCAAGCGUUAAUCGGAAUUACUGGGCGUAAAGCGCACGCAGGCGGUUUGUUAAGUCAGAUGUGAAAUCCCCGAGCUUAACUUGGGAACUGCAUUUGAAACUGGCAGGCUAGAGUCUUGUAGAGGGGGGUAGAAUUCCAGGUGUAGCGGUGAAAUGCGUAGAGAUCUGGAGGAAUACCGGUGGCGAAGGCGGCCCCCUGGACAAAGACUGACGCUCAGGCGCGAAAGCGUGGGGAGCAAACAGGAUUAGAUACCCCUGUAGUCCCUGUCUCUUAUAC